CAACAGGGAUUGCCCUAGUAACGGCGAGUGAAGCGGCAACAGCUCAAAUUUGAAAUCUGGCUCUUUUAGAGUCCGAGUUGUAAUUUGCAGAGGGCGCUUUGGCUUUGGCAGCGGUCCAAGUUCCUUGGAACAGGACGUCACAGAGGGUGAGAAUCCCGUACGUGGUCGCUAGCUAUUGCCGUGUAAAGCCCCUUCGACGAGUCGAGUUGUUUGGGAAUGCAGCUCUAAAUGGGAGGUAAAUUUCUUCUAAAGCUAAAUAUUGGCCAGAGACCGAUAGCGCACAAGUAGAGUGAUCGAAAGAUGAAAAGCACUUUGGAAAGAGAGUCAAACAGCACGUGAAAUUGUUGAAAGGGAAGCGCUUGCAGCCAGACUUGCUUGCAGUUGCUCAUCCGGGCUUUUGCCCGGUGCACUCUUCUGCAGGCAGGCCAGCAUCAGUUUGGGCGGUGGGAUAAAGGUCUCUGACACGUUCCUUCCUUCGGGUUGGCCAUAUAGGGGAGACGUCAUACCACCAGCCUGGACUGAGGUCCGCGCAUCUGCUAGGAUGCUGGCGUAAUGGCUGUAAGCGGCCCGUCUUGAAACACGGACCAAGGAGUCUAACAUCUAUGCGAGUGUUUGGGUGUCAAGCCCGAGCGCGUAAUGAAAGUGAACGGAGGUGGGAACCCGCAAGGGUGCACCAUCGACCGAUCCUGAAGUUUACGGAAGGAUUUGAGUAAGAGCAUGGCUGUUGGGACCCGAAAGAUGGUGAACUAUGCUUGAAUAGGGUGAAGCCAGAGGAAACUCUGGUGGAGGCUCGCAGCGGUUCUGACGUGCAAAUCGAUCGUCAAAUUUGGGCAUAGGGGCGAAAGACUAAUCGAACUAUCUAGUAGCUG
This 869-nucleotide ribosomal RNA is filed under the name Curvularia sp. REF154. RNAcentral's name for it is "eukaryotic LSU rRNA". It matches the Rfam family "Eukaryotic large subunit ribosomal RNA", at positions 66 to 953 of the family's 3401-position model. Lineage: Eukaryota; Fungi; Ascomycota; Dothideomycetes; Pleosporales; Pleosporaceae. The record is from RNAcentral.